GACGAACGCUGGCGGCGUGCUUAACACAUGCAAGUCGAACGGAAAGGCCCUGCUUUUGUGGGGUGCUCGAGUGGCGAACGGGUGAGUAACACGUGAGUAACCUGCCCUUGACUUUGGGAUAACUUCAGGAAACUGGGGCUAAUACCGGAUAGGAGCUCCUGCUGCAUGGUGGGGGUUGGAAAGUUUCGGCGGUUGGGGAUGGACUCGCGGCUUAUCAGCUUGUUGGUGGGGUAGUGGCUUACCAAGGCUUUGACGGGUAGCCGGCCUGAGAGGGUGACCGGCCACAUUGGGACUGAGAUACGGCCCAGACUCCAACGGGAGGCAGCAGUGGAGAAUAUUGCACAAUGGGCGGAAGCCUGAUGCAGCAACGCCGCGUGCGGGAUGACGGCCUUCGGGUUGUAAACCGCUUUCGCCUGUGACGAAGCGUGAGUGACGGUAAUGGGUAAAGAAGCACCGGCUAACUACGUG
This 468-nucleotide ribosomal RNA is filed under the name uncultured bacterium. Its description in RNAcentral is "partial 16S ribosomal RNA". It matches the Rfam family "Bacterial small subunit ribosomal RNA", at positions 28 to 507 of the family's 1533-position model. The record is from RNAcentral.